GAUGAACGCUGGCGGCGUGCCUAACACAUGCAAGUCGAACGGAGUCCAGCCUUUAAGACCUUCGGGUCAAAGAGGGGAAGACUGAGUGGCGGACGGGUGAGUAACACGUGGGCAACCUGGCUCAUAGAGGGGGAUAACAGAGAGAAAUUUCUGCUAAUACCGCAUAAGCACACACUGCCGCAUGGCAGAGGGUGAAAAGAGAAUCGCUAUGAGAUGGACCCGCGUCUGAUUAGCCAGUUGGCAGGGUAAGAGCCUACCAAAGCGACGAUUAGUAGCCGAUCUGAGAGGAUGAACGGCCACAUUGGGACUGAGACACGGCCCAAACUCCUACGGGAGGCAGCAGUGGGGGAUAUUGCACAAUGGGGGGAACCCUGAUGCAGCGACGCCGCGUGAGUGAAGAAGUAUUUCGGUAUGUAAAGCUCUAUCAGCAGGGAAGAUAAUGACAGUACCUGAAUAAGAAGCCCCGGCUAACUACGUG
This 478-nucleotide ribosomal RNA is filed under the name uncultured bacterium. RNAcentral describes it as "partial 16S ribosomal RNA". It matches the Rfam family "Bacterial small subunit ribosomal RNA", at positions 28 to 507 of the family's 1533-position model. The record is from RNAcentral.